GAUGAAGAACGCAGCGAAAUGCGAUAAGUAAUGUGAAUUGCAGAAUUCAGUGAAUCAUCGAAUCUUUGAACGCACCUUGCGCUCUUUGGUAUUCCGAAGAGCAUGCCUGUUUGAGUGUCAUUAAAUUCUCAACCUCAUCAGUUUUCUGAAGAGGCUUGGAUUAUGGGGGUUUGUGCAGGCUGCCUCAGCGCGGUCUGCUCCCCUAAAAUGCAUUAGCGAGUUCAUACUGAGCUCCGUCUAUUGGUGUGAUAAUUAUCUACGCCGUGGAUUGGGUUUAGACUUGCUUCUAAUCGUCCGUAAGGACAACUCUUUGACAAUUUGCCCUCAAAUCAGGUAGGACUACCCGCUGAACUUAAGCAUAUCAAUAAGCGGAGGA
RNAcentral lists this unclassified non-coding RNA (376 nucleotides) under soil metagenome. RNAcentral describes it as "partial contains 5.8S ribosomal RNA, internal transcribed spacer 2, and large subunit ribosomal RNA". The stretch from base 1 to 120 matches the Rfam family "5.8S ribosomal RNA", at positions 35 to 154 of the family's 154-position model. The record is from RNAcentral.